UAUUUAAAUGUGGAGCUAAAUUAAGCAAUGUUGACGAAUGUAUCAUAAAUUCCUUUUAUGCUCGUUCAUUGAAGAGGAAAGCAAUAACAACUGCGGCGCACAAGAAAGGGUCGACAUGAGACGGACGUGAAAAGUUUUGCAGUAUGCUUCUGAUCUAGCAUCUCAAAACGAAUCAGAACAUUGUUUCUAAUAUUUGCAAACGACAUAUAUAUGUAUGUGAUAUCGUUGUAUGUAGAAUUAGACCGAAGUUCCGAGUUUUCAAAGCGGGUUUUCAUUCUGUCAUGGGAAAAAUUUGUAUAGGCGUGCAUAUAUAACGGCGAUGCUGCGCUUAGCCAUGGCUUUAGAGUUGUUGGCUUCACAAGGUUAUCAAUGGCUGGCUUGCAGCGACUGUAUCGUAAGUGAUGCCCAAAGCUAUACACUCUUGCAUCAGAGGUAUGACAGGAAUUGGAAACAAAAUUUUUUGUGUAGGGAAUCCGAUGGACCGUAAACGCGGAUACGAACGUCUGCUUUUAGCAGGAUCAUAAUUGGAUGUGUUGACGGAACGUAUAUAUGCUUUUAAAGCCAGCGGAAAAUGAAGUAAUUUUCAUAAAUCGAAAAGGAAAGCCUAAACGGAAUGGUAAUUUGCGCAGUCAGUUUCAAAUUUCCCGAAUCUUACCAUGAUUCACAUGUGUAGAGGUAUGCCGGUGAAAGAGUUUAUCU
This is a long non-coding RNA of Glossina fuscipes, 699 nucleotides long. RefSeq lists it as uncharacterized. The transcript is spliced from 3 exons. Lineage: Eukaryota; Metazoa; Arthropoda; Insecta; Diptera; Glossinidae. The record is from RefSeq and is a predicted model, not a curated record.